Non-coding RNA from Leucoraja erinaceus (little skate), 693 nucleotides. Lineage: Eukaryota; Metazoa; Chordata; Chondrichthyes; Rajiformes; Rajidae. The record is from the annotation of a RefSeq genome assembly.
AAGUGACUGCGAUCCCGGAAAAUCUUAGCAAACACGCGGGCCAGGGAUAGAGACAUAAGGAGAAGGGUCCUGUCACUGAUCUCCAGAGACCCGUGGAGACAGAGGGAAUGAGAGUUAGUCUGAACGAUGAGAACAUGCAGUAGAGCUGUGGACGAUGCAUCAGAGACGAACUGACGCCAUCACGGAUUGGAUUGGUAAGUGGGAGAAGUAGGCGUGUCUACCUCAUGUUGAAUGCGGCAAUAUGUUUGAGAGAGAUUGGAGGAGUGUCGGUGAUCAUAAAUGCACCGCUCCUGCGCUGAUCACUCUCGCUACUGGCUCCGGAGAAACAUGCUUCGGUUACUAAGUCUGAUCCUUUGCUUCCACUAUGGGAUGCUCGUGACCGUUCGGCAGUCUCCUGAAACAUUUUCUGCAUCGCCUGGAGUCGCGGUGGAGUUGACAUGCACCGCAGAUGGAGGGGGCAGCACUGAUGUCAUGUUCUGGUACAGGCAAUACCCGGCAGAUGGUCCACGAAUCCUAGUUUACUCCAUGAACAGCAAUCAUCUUGAUCCAUCUAAUCCGGUGGACGGUUUCACGGCGAAAAGGCCCAAACCCAAUGUCUUCGACCUGACAUUGGACAAUUUGCGGAAUGGAACCCCCGCAACAUAUCUCUGCGCCUGGAGACUACACAACGACUCAGAGCUUCGGAAGAUCUGA